This 506-nucleotide ribosomal RNA is filed under the name uncultured bacterium. Its description in RNAcentral is "partial 16S ribosomal RNA". It matches the Rfam family "Bacterial small subunit ribosomal RNA", at positions 30 to 523 of the family's 1533-position model. The record is from RNAcentral.
AUUGAACGCUGGCGGCAGGCUUAACACAUGCAAGUCGAGCGGUAACAGAGAGAAGCUUGCUUCUCUGCUGACGAGCGGCGGACGGGUGAGUAAUGCCUAGGAAUCUGCCUAGUAGUGGGGGACUACUUGCCGAAAGGUAAGCUAGUACCGCAUACGUCCUACGGGAGAAAGGAGGGGACCCUCGGGCCUUUCGCUAUGAGAUGAGCCUAGGUCGGAUUAGUUAGUUGGUGGGGUAAUGGCGCACCAAGACCGCAAUCCGUAACUGGUCUGAGAGGAUGAUCAGUCACACUGGAACUGAGACACGGUCCAGACUCCUACGGGAGGCAGCAGUGGGGAAUAGUGGACAAUGGGGGGAAACCUGAUCCAGCCAUGCCGCGUGUGUGAAGAAGGUCUUAGGAUUGUAAAGCACUUUAAGUUGGGAGGAAGAGCAGUUAACUAAUAUUUGACUGUUUUGACGUUACCGACAGAAUAAGCACCGGCUAACUUCGUGCCAGCCGCCGCCGUAA